AACGAACGCUGGCGGCAUGCCUAACACAUGCAAGUCGAACGAAAAGGCCGGGUUUAGUGGCGCACGGGUGCGUAACGCGGGGGAACCUGCCCGUAGGUUACGUAUAACUCCCCGAAAGGGGUGCUAAUAAAGCAUAAUGUCUUCGGACCAAAGGUUUAUGGCCCUUGGAUGGGCCCGCGUUGGUUUAGCUAGUUGGUAGGGUAAAAGCCUACCAAGGCGAGGAUCCAUAGCUGGUCUGGGAGGAUGAUAAGCCACACUGGGACUGCGGCACGGCCCAGAGUCCGACGGGAGGCAGCAGUGGGGAAUAUUGGAGAAUGGGCGAAGGCCUGAUCAAGCAAUGCGGCGUGAGUGAGGAAGGCCUUAGGGUUGUAAAGCUCUUUUAGCCGGGAUGAUAGUGACGGUACCGGGAGAAUAAGCUCCGGCUAACUACGUG
This 433-nucleotide ribosomal RNA is filed under the name uncultured bacterium. Its description in RNAcentral is "partial 16S ribosomal RNA". It matches the Rfam family "Bacterial small subunit ribosomal RNA", at positions 29 to 507 of the family's 1533-position model. The record is from RNAcentral.